This 2921-nucleotide ribosomal RNA is filed under the name Klebsiella pneumoniae. RNAcentral describes it as "23S ribosomal RNA". It matches the Rfam family "Bacterial large subunit ribosomal RNA". The record is from RNAcentral. Lineage: Bacteria; Pseudomonadati; Pseudomonadota; Gammaproteobacteria; Enterobacterales; Enterobacteriaceae.
GGGUUGUGAGGUUAAGCGACUAAGCGUACACGGUGGAUGCCCUGGCAGUCAGAGGCGAUGAAGGACGUGCUAAUCUGCGAAAAGCGUCGGUAAGGUGAUAUGAACCGUUAUAGCCGGCGAUGUCCGAAUGGGGAAACCCAGUGCAAUUCGUUGCACUAUCGUUAACUGAAUACAUAGGUUAACGAGGCGAACCGGGGGAACUGAAACAUCUAAGUACCCCGAGGAAAAGAAAUCAACCGAGAUUCCCCCAGUAGCGGCGAGCGAACGGGGAGCAGCCCAGAGUCUGAAUCAGCUUGUGUGUUAGUGGAACGGUCUGGAAAGUCCGACGGUACAGGGUGAUAGUCCCGUACACCAAAAUGCACAGGCUGUGAACUCGAAGAGUAGGGCGGGACACGUGGUAUCCUGUCUGAAUAUGGGGGGACCAUCCUCCAAGGCUAAAUACUCCUGACUGACCGAUAGUGAACCAGUACCGUGAGGGAAAGGCGAAAAGAACCCCGGCGAGGGGAGUGAAAAAGAACCUGAAACCGUGUACGUACAAGCAGUGGGAGCACCUUCGGGUGUGACUGCGUACCUUUUGUAUAAUGGGUCAGCGACUUAUAUUCUGUAGCAAGGUUAACCGUAUAGGGGAGCCGCAGGGAAACCGAGUCUUAACUGGGCGUUAAGUUGCAGGGUAUAGACCCGAAACCCGGUGAUCUAGCCAUGGGCAGGUUGAAGGUUGGGUAACACUAACUGGAGGACCGAACCGACUAAUGUUGAAAAAUUAGCGGAUGACUUGUGGCUGGGGGUGAAAGGCCAAUCAAACCGGGAGAUAGCUGGUUCUCCCCGAAAGCUAUUUAGGUAGCGCCUCGUGAACUCAUCUUCGGGGGUAGAGCACUGUUUCGGCUAGGGGGUCAUCCCGACUUACCAACCCGAUGCAAACUACGAAUACCGAAGAAUGUUAUCACGGGAGACACACGGCGGGUGCUAACGUCCGUCGUGAAGAGGGAAACAACCCAGACCGCCAGCUAAGGUCCCAAAGUCAUGGUUAAGUGGGAAACGAUGUGGGAAGGCACAGACAGCCAGGAUGUUGGCUUAGAAGCAGCCAUCAUUUAAAGAAAGCGUAAUAGCUCACUGGUCGAGUCGGCCUGCGCGGAAGAUGUAACGGGGCUAAACCAUGCACCGAAGCUGCGGCAGCGACACUAUGUGUUGUUGGGUAGGGGAGCGUUCUGUAAGCCUGCGAAGGUGACCUGUGAGGGUUGCUGGAGGUAUCAGAAGUGCGAAUGCUGACAUAAGUAACGAUAAAGCGGGUGAAAAGCCCGCUCGCCGGAAGACCAAGGGUUCCUGUCCAACGUUAAUCGGGGCAGGGUGAGUCGACCCCUAAGGCGAGGCCGAAAGGCGUAGUCGAUGGGAAACAGGUUAAUAUUCCUGUACUUGGUGUUACUGCGAAGGGGGGACGGAGAAGGCUAUGUUAGCCGGGCGACGGUUGUCCCGGUUUAAGCAUGUAGGCUGGUUGUCCAGGCAAAUCCGGAUAAUCAAGGCUGAGGUGUGAUGACGAGGCACUACGGUGCUGAAGUAACAAAUGCCCUGCUUCCAGGAAAAGCCUCUAAGCAUCAGGUAACAUCAAAUCGUACCCCAAACCGACACAGGUGGUCAGGUAGAGAAUACCAAGGCGCUUGAGAGAACUCGGGUGAAGGAACUAGGCAAAAUGGUGCCGUAACUUCGGGAGAAGGCACGCUGGUGUGUAGGUGAAGUCCCUGCGGAUGGAGCUGAGACCAGUCGAAGAUACCAGCUGGCUGCAACUGUUUAUUAAAAACACAGCACUGUGCAAACACGAAAGUGGACGUAUACGGUGUGACGCCUGCCCGGUGCCGGAAGGUUAAUUGAUGGGGUUAUCCGUAAGGAGAAGCUCUUGAUCGAAGCCCCGGUAAACGGCGGCCGUAACUAUAACGGUCCUAAGGUAGCGAAAUUCCUUGUCGGGUAAGUUCCGACCUGCACGAAUGGCGUAAUGAUGGCCAGGCUGUCUCCACCCGAGACUCAGUGAAAUUGAACUCGCUGUGAAGAUGCAGUGUACCCGCGGCAAGACGGAAAGACCCCGUGAACCUUUACUAUAGCUUGACACUGAACAUUGAGCCUUGAUGUGUAGGAUAGGUGGGAGGCUUUGAAGCGUGGACGCCAGUCUGCGUGGAGCCAACCUUGAAAUACCACCCUUUAAUGUUUGAUGUUCUAACGUUGGCCCUUACCGGGGUUGCGGACAGUGUCUGGUGGGUAGUUUGACUGGGGCGGUCUCCUCCCAAAGCGUAACGGAGGAGCACGAAGGUUAGCUAAUCCUGGUCGGACAUCAGGAGGUUAGUGCAAUGGCAUAAGCUAGCUUGACUGCGAGCGUGACGGCGCGAGCAGGUGCGAAAGCAGGUCAUAGUGAUCCGGUGGUUCUGAAUGGAAGGGCCAUCGCUCAACGGAUAAAAGGUACUCCGGGGAUAACAGGCUGAUACCGCCCAAGAGUUCAUAUCGACGGCGGUGUUUGGCACCUCGAUGUCGGCUCAUCACAUCCUGGGGCUGAAGUAGGUCCCAAGGGUAUGGCUGUUCGCCAUUUAAAGUGGUACGCGAGCUGGGUUUAGAACGUCGUGAGACAGUUCGGUCCCUAUCUGCCGUGGGCGCUGGAGAAUUGAGGGGGCUGCUCCUAGUACGAGAGGACCGGAGUGGACGCAUCACUGGUGUUCGGGUUGUCAUGCCAAUGGCACUGCCCGGUAGCUAAAUGCGGAAGAGAUAAGUGCUGAAAGCAUCUAAGCACGAAACUUGCCCCGAGAUGAGUUCUCCCUGAGACUUUAAGUCUCCUGAAGGAACGUUAAAGACGAUGACGUUGAUAGGCCGGGUGUGUAAGCGCAGCGAUGCGUUGAGCUAACCGGUACUAAUGAACCGUGAGGCUUAACCUUACAACGCCGAAG